GCAAAACGCGAAGAACCUUACCCAGGCUUGACAUGCAGAGGACAGCGCUAGAGAUAGCGUUUCCCGUAAGGGUCUCUGCACAGGUGCUGCAUGGCUGUCGUCAGCUCGUGCCGUGAGGUGUUGGGUUAAGUCCCGCAACGAGCGCAGCCCUUAUCAUUAGUUGCCAACACGUGAAGGUGGGAACUCUAAUGAGACUGCCCGGGUUAACCGGGAGGAAGGCGAGGAUGACGUCAAGUCCGCAUGGCCCUUAUGUCUGGGGCUACACACGUGCUACAAUGGUCGGUACAGAGGGCAGCCAAACCGCGAGGUGGAGCAAAUCCCAUAAAGCCGGCCCCAGUUCAGAUUGUAGUCUGCAACUCGACUACAUGAAGUUGGAAUUGCUAGUAAUGGCGUGUCAGCUACAACGCCGUGAAUACGUUCCCGGGUCUUGUACACACCG
This 439-nucleotide ribosomal RNA is filed under the name uncultured bacterium. RNAcentral describes it as "bacterial SSU rRNA". It matches the Rfam family "Bacterial small subunit ribosomal RNA", at positions 954 to 1392 of the family's 1533-position model. The record is from RNAcentral.